Molecule: ribosomal RNA, 420 nt
Filed under: uncultured bacterium
Lineage: Bacteria
Description: partial 16S ribosomal RNA
Rfam family: Bacterial small subunit ribosomal RNA
Source: RNAcentral
AAUCUUGCGCAAUGGCCUAACGGCUGACGCAGCGACGCCGCGUGAGUGAUGAAGGCCCUCGGGUUGUAAAGCUCUGUGGAGGGGGACGAAUAAGCGCCGGCGAAUACCCGGCGUGAUGAAGGUACCCUGUUAGCAAGAACCGGCUAACCCUGUGCCAGCAGCCGCGGUAAGACAGAGGGUGCAAACGUUGUUCGGAAUUACUGGGCGUAAAGCGCGUGUAGGCUGCUCGGAAAGUCGGGUGUGAAAGCCCUGGGCUCAACCCAGGAAGUGCACUCGAAACUUCCAAGCUUGAGUUCUGGAGAGGAAGGCGGAAUUCUCGGUGUAGAGGUGAAAUUCGUAGAUAUCGAGAGGAACACCGGUGGCGAAGGCGGCCUUCUGGACAGUGACUGACGCUGAGACGCGAAAGCGUGGGGAGCAAAC